Molecule: non-coding RNA, 21 nt
Filed under: Caenorhabditis elegans
Lineage: Eukaryota; Metazoa; Nematoda; Chromadorea; Rhabditida; Rhabditidae
Source: RNAcentral
UGUCGAAUUAUUGACAAAAAU